GACGAACGCUGGCGGCGUGCCUAAUACAUGCAAGUCGAGCGGACCGACGGGAGCUUGCUCCCUUAGGUCAGCGGCGGACGGGUGAGUAACACGUGGGUAACCUGCCUGUAAGACUGGGAUAACUCCGGGAAACCGGGGCUAAUACCGGAUGCUUGAUUGAACCGCAUGGUUCAAUCAUAAAAGGUGGCUUUCAGCUACCACUUACAGAUGGACCCGCGGCGCAUUAGCUAGUUGGUGAGGUAACGGCUCACCAAGGCGACGAUGCGUAGCCGACCUGAGAGGGUGAUCGGCCACACUGGGACUGAGACACGGCCCAGACUCCUACGGGAGGCAGCAGUAGGGAAUCUUCCGCAAUGGACGAAAGUCUGACGGAGCAACGCCGCGUGAGUGAUGAAGGUUUUCGGAUCGUAAAACUCUGUUGUUAGGGAAGAACAAGUACCGUUCGAAUAGGGCGGCACCUUGACGGUACCUAACCAGAAAGCCACGGCUAACUACGUGCCAGCAGCCGCGGUAAUACGUAGGUGGCAAGCGUUGUCCGGAAUUAUUGGGCGUAAAGCGCGCGCAGGCGGUUUCUUAAGUCUGAUGUGAAAGCCCCCGGCUCAACCGGGGAGGGUCAUUGGAAACUGGGGAACUUGAGUGCAGAAGAGGAGAGUGGAAUUCCACGUGUAGCGGUGAAAUGCGUAGAGAUUGGAGGACACCAGUGGCGAAGGCGACUCUCUGGUCUGUAACUGAC
RNAcentral lists this ribosomal RNA (733 nucleotides) under uncultured Bacilli bacterium. Its description in RNAcentral is "bacterial SSU rRNA". It matches the Rfam family "Bacterial small subunit ribosomal RNA", at positions 28 to 744 of the family's 1533-position model. The record is from RNAcentral. Lineage: Bacteria; Bacillati; Bacillota; Bacilli.